RNAcentral lists this long non-coding RNA (13972 nucleotides) under Homo sapiens (human). RNAcentral's name for it is "HSALNT0319273". The record is from RNAcentral. Lineage: Eukaryota; Metazoa; Chordata; Mammalia; Primates; Hominidae.
GUGCGUGGCGUGUCCGCUGGACCAGGGGACGGGGGCGCGCCGCAGGUGUAGGAGCUUUGCGCGCCUACCUGGCGGUCGUGGGUCGAGGAGGGGUCAAGAAUUGUUGUCUAGCAGCCCUCUCCCCGCUGCCCUGUCCUGGCCGAGGCAAAGGCCGCGUGCGCUCCGCGUCUGCCAGGCUUUAGGGCUGCGCGGACACUGGGUGGGUGGUGGGCCGAGGCGACCGGAAGGUCCUGGCCGCCUUUCCGGUCUCCUCAGCACCCUGGAGCGCCGCCCUCGGGUUUCGGUCUCCUGGAUCUGCGGGUCGGUCUCGGCGGGCGGAUUACUCCUCGCCCACAACCUCGAGGCCCCGGGGUCAACCGCGCCCUCCGGGCCGGCAACCCAGGGUUUAGUCAGAUUCCUCCUGACCCACCGCUUCUGGGAAAGAGGCGCCUCCCGUCAGGAGGAUGCUGAGUUCCUCAUGACUGGACCAGUGAGUGUCCACUCCCUGGUCCCUGGCGAGAGAGGCGGGACCCCCACGCCCUCCUGGCGCUCUUUGCAGAGAUGUUCCUCAGGCCCAAUCCGGGAUUUGGGAUGUCUGUGCGUGCUGUGGAGCAGAGAGUUUGCAACAUGGUCUCACUUUGUCACCCAGGCUGGAAUGCAUUGGCAUGAACACGUCUCACUGCAGCCUCAACCUCCCAGGCUGAAGUGACCCUCCAACUCUGCUUUCACAGUAGCUGUGAUAUGGUUUGGCUGUGUCCCCACCCACAUCUCAUCUUAAAACCCAGUGGGAGGUAAUUGAAUCAUGGGGGCAAGUCUUUCCUGUGCUGUUCUUGUGAUAGUGAAUAAGUCUCAUGAGAUCUGAUGGUUUUUAAAAGAGUUCUGGCUGGGCAUGGUGGUGGGCACCUGUAAUCCAAACUACUAGGGAGGCUGAGGCAGAGUGAAUUGCUUGAACCUGGGAGAAGGAGGUUGCAGUGAGCCGAGAUUGCACCGCUGCACUCCAGCCUGGGCAAAAUUGAAGACUCUGUCUCCAAAAAAAAAAAAAAGGAGUUCCUCUGCAUAAGCUCUCUCUCUUUGCCUGCUGCCAUCCAUGUAAGAUGUGACUUGCUCUUCCUUGCCCUAUGAUUGUGAGUCUUUCCCCAGCCACGUGGAACUGUAAGUCCAAAUAAACCUCUUUCUUUUGUAAAUUGCCCAGUCUUGGGUAUGUCUAUCAGCAGCAUGGAAAUGGACUAAUACAGUAAAUUGGUACCAGUAGAGUGGGGUGUUGCUGAAAAGAUACCUGAAAAUGUGAAAGUGACUUUGGAACUGGGUAGCAGGCAAACAUUGGAACAGUUUGGAGGGCUCAGAAGAAGACAGGAAAAUGUAGGAAAGUUUGGAACUUCCUAGAGACUUGUUGAAUGGCAUUGACAAAAAUGCUAAUAGUGAUACGAACAAUAAGAUCCAGUCUGAGGUGGUCUCAGAUGGAGAUGAGGAACUUGUUGGGAACUGGAGCAAAGGUGACUCUUGUUAUGUUUUAGCAAAGAGACUGGUGACAUUUUGCCCCUGCCCGAGAGAUUUGUGGAACUUUGAACUUGAGGGAGAUGAUUUAGGGUAUCUGGUGGAAGACAUUUCUUUUUUUUUUUUUGUGACGGAGUCUUGCAUUGUCGCCUGGGGUGGAGUGCAAUGGUCUGAUCUCAGCUUACUGGGUUCAAGCAAUUCUGUCUCAGCCUCCCGAGUAGCUGGGAUUACAGGCGUCCGCCACCACGCCCUUCUAAUUUUUUGUAUUUUUAGUAGAGACGGUUUCACUAUGUUGGCCAGUGGAAGACAUUUCUAAGCAGCAAAGCAUUCAAGAGGUGGCUUGGGUGUUGUUAAAGGCAUUCUGUUUUGACUGGGUGCGGUGGUGCACACCUAUAAUCCCAGCACUUUGGGAGGCCGAGGAGGGUGGAUCAAGAGGUCAGGAGUUCAAGACCAGCCUGGCCAAUAUGGUGAAACCCUGUCUCUACUGGAAAUACAAAAAUUAGCUUGGCAUGGUGGUGUGCGCCUGUAGUCCCAGCUUCUCGGGAGGCUGAGGCAGGAGAAUCGCCUGGACCCGGGAGGUGGAGGUUCCAUUGAGCCAAGAUCAUGCCACUGACUCCAGCCUGGGCAACAGACUGAGACUCUGUCUCAAAAAAAAAGAAAAAAAAAAAGGCAUUCAGUUUUAUAAGGGAAGCAGAGCAUAAAAGUUUGGGAAAUUUGCAGCCUGACAAUGUGAUAGUAAAGAAAAUCCCAUUUUCUGAGAGGAAAUUCAAGCUGGCUGCAAAAAUUUGCAUAAGUACCAAGGAGCCGAAUGUUAAUAUCCAAGACAAUGGGGAAAAUAUCUCCCAGACAUGUCAGAGGUCUUCAUGGCAGCCCCUCCCAUCAACAGGUCCAGAGGCCUAGGAGGAAAAAGUGGUUUUGUGGGCAGCACCCAGGGUCCCCAUGCUAUGUGCAGCCUAGGGACUUGGUGCCGUGCGUCUCAGCUCCUCCAGUGGUGACUGAAAGGGGCCAACAUAGAGCUCGGGCUGCUGCUUCAUGGGGUGGAAGUCCCAAAUCUUGGCAGCUUCCAUGUGGUGUUGAGCCUGCGAGUACAUAGAAGUCAAGAAUUGGGGUUUGGGAACCUCCAUCUAGAUUUCAGAAGAUAUAUGGAAAUUCCUGGAUGCCCAGGCAGAAGUUUGCUGUAGGGGUGGGGCCUUCAUGGAGAACCUCUGCUAGAGCAGUGCAGAAGGGAAAUGUGGGGUCGGAGCCCCCACACAGAGUCCCCGCUGCGGCCCUGCCUGAUGGAGCUGUGAGAAGUGGACCACCGUUCUCCAGACCCCAGAAUGGUAGAUCCACCGACAGCUUGCACCGUGUGCCUGGAAAAGCUGCAGACACUCAAUGCCAGCCUAUGAAAGCAGCCUGGAGGGAGGCUUUACCCUGCAAAGCCACAGAAGUGGAGCUGCCCAAGACCAUGGGAAUCCACCUCUUGCAUCAGUGUGACCUGGAUGUGAGACAUGGAGUCAAAGGAUAUCAUUUUGAAGCUUUAAGAUUUGACUGCCCUGCUGGAUUUCAGACUUGCAUGGGUCCUGUAGCCCCUUUGUUUUGGCCAAUUUCUCCCAUUUGGAAUGGCUAUAUUUACCCAAUGCUUAUACCACCAUUCUAUCUAGGAAGUAAAUAACUUGCUUUUGAUUUUACAGGCUCAUAGGCAGAAGGGAUUUGCCUUGUCUCAGAUGAGACUUUGGACUGCGGACUUUUGAGUUAAUGCUGAAAUGAGUUAAGACUUCGGAGGACUAUUGGGAAGGCAUGAUUGGUUUUGAAAUGUGAGGACAUGAGAUUUGGGAGGGGCCAGGGGUGGAAGGAUACGGUUGGGUUCUGUGUCCCCACCCAAGUCUUAUCUUGUAGCUCCCAUAACCCAUGUGUCUUGGGAGGGACCUGGUAAUUCAAUCAUGUUGAGAUUACAGGCGUAAGCCACUGCACCCGGCAAUAAACCUCUUUCUUUUGUAAAUUGCCCAGGUAUGUCUUUAUCAGCAGCAUGAAAAUGGACUCAUACAAUGAUCCAUUACCUAGGGUAAAAUUCUCCUGAAUGUCAAACAGAGAUAAACUACAUUUGGGUUUUGGGUAAGUCCCCUGUAAUGAUGAAUCAAGAAUCCUCAAGUCUGUCUUGCCACCCAUUUAAUACGUAUUUUUGUUAAGGCUGAAGUUUAGAGUUAGAAUCAGGACAUUUUGGCCUAUUGAGAGGUUCUGAAUUCCAACAGAAGAUGCCAUGUAAAUCAGUGAAUUUGAUUCUUUUAAAAGCAACUUACAAAAUUUACAAGAUGUAUUCAAUAAAGCAGUUUAGCUUUGGUAUAUCAAACCUUAUAAUGAACCAUUUUUCCCACUUCAUCUUAUGCAAUGUUUAAUAUUUUCUAUUUUUGUCAAGGAUAUUAAACCUACACCUGGAAACAUAUUAAAUGCCAACUUAAAAUGUGAGAAGUUUGGCAGAACUCAGACCCAUUCUUCCAAUUUCCAAGCUGUUUAAUCACACUGAUUCAGACACUCUGGAUAGCAGCUGGGAUUGUAGUUAUCUUUAUGCUUUGAGCUCUCUAGUUUUGUCUACACAUCUUAUAAAAUAUCCCCUCCUCAUUCUCCUCUAGCUGGAACACUAACCCAAUGGAUGUUGUGGUGAACUUUCUUUGACCAGGCAGAGAAGUGCAGCAUUGGGUGGACCAUGCACAACCAGUUUGAGAAGCACUGCUCUAGGGGUUGGGGGAGCAACAAUAGAAAGAGUGUAGGUUCUGAAUACCUGAAGCAUACAUUUUAGCUCUAGACUGCUUAUAUUGUUGUUACAUGAAAGAGAACUUUUAAUCUGGUUUAAACCACUGGAUCUCUUUAUUCCAGCAAGUGAAUCUAUAUCCAACUAAUAUUUACUCCCAGUCUGUUCUUUCUCACCCCUCUUUCCCUUACUAUAAACCUUUUCUAUAUCAAUUUAUAUCAUUAGUUGCUCAGCCCACAAACCAGAUGUCACUUUUGUUUUCUCUUUUCCUUCCCAUUCAUAGCCAGGCCAUCGUUGUGACUUAUUGGCUGUACCUCCAAAAUAUAUCCCAGAUCUGAUCUCUUCUUAUAAUUUGUACUGCUACAACCUUAGUCAAAGCCACUAAUAUCUCUUAUCUGAACUCCAGUGGUUUACUAGUUUUCUGCCUCUCUUCUUGACACAAUUCAUCUUUCUACAUAGCAGCCAGAGUAAGAUAAAAUCAUAAAUCAGAUCAUAUAACUUCUACCCCCUGUACCAAUGGCUAUCUUUUAUACUCAGAAUAAAAUCCAAAACCUUUAUUUGGCUUCCAAGAUCCUACAAGAUAGAGACCUUACUUCUCAUCUUGUACCCAUCAUUUGAUCUUCAGUCCCUUGAAAAUGCCAAGUCUAUUUCCAUUUCAGGGCCUUUGUGCUUGUUACUAUUGUUUCUUUUCUCUUGGAAAACUGCCCAGAUCUUUCCUUAGCUGAAUUAUUCAGAUCCCAACUCAAAUAUCAUCUCUUUAGAAAAUUCUUUCAGAACCAGGUGUGGUGGUGCACACCUGUAAUCUCAGCUACUCGAGUGGCUGAGGCUGAUGGAUUUCUUGAGCCCAGAAGUCUGAGGCCAGCCUGGGCAAUAUAGCAAGAUCCUGUCAAAAAGAAAAAGGUAUCUCACCAUGAUUAUAUUUUAAUUUCCCUUCAGCAAUUAGAAGUCCCUGAAAUUAAUUUACCUUAUUUGUUGGCAACCUCUGCCUCCUGGGUUCAAGCGAUUCUCCUGCCUCAGCCUCCUGAGUAGCUGGGAUUACAGGCGUGCACCACCACGCCUGGCUAAAUUUUGUAUUUUUAGUAGAGAUGGGGUUUUGCCGUGUUGGUCAGGCUGGUCUCGAACUCCUGACCUCUGAUCUGCCCACCUCGGCCUUCCAGAGUGCUGGGAUUACAGGCAUGAGCCACCAUGGGCCCACAAAGCUAUUUUACUUAGCAUUUUUUUUCCCGAGGCUAAAUUGGGAACUACUGACAAUACUAUUGACAAUACUAAAUAUAUUUUUAAAUUAUUUUACUUAUUUUUGAGACAGGGUCUCACUGUGUCACCCACGCUGUAGUGCAGUGAACCAUCACCACUCACUGCAGUCUCACCCUUCCUGAACUCAGGUGAUCCUCCCACCUCAGCCUCCUGAGUAGCUGGGACUACAGGCAUGCACCACCAUGCCUGGCUAAUUUUUAAAAUUUUUUGUAGAGAUGGAGUUUCGCCAUGUUGCCCAGGCUGGUCUCAAACUUCUGGGUUCAAGUGAUGCAAGUGUCUCAGCCUCCUAAAGUGCUAGGAUUACAGGCGUAAGCCACUAUGCCCAGCCUUUUAUUUUAUUUUAUUUUAUUUAUUUAUUUUUUGAGACAGAGUCUUGUUCUGUUGCCCAGGCUAGAGUGCAGUGGUGCAAUCUCAGCUCACUGCAACCUCUGCCUCCCAGGUUCAAGCGAUUAUCAUGUCUCAGCCUCCCUAGUAGCUGGGAUUACAAGUGUGCACCACACGCGGCUAAUUUUUGUAUUUUUUGUAGAGGCAGAGAGGCAGGGUUUUAUUAUGUUGGCCAAGCUGGUCUUGAACUCCUGGCCUCAAGUGAUCUGCUCACCCCGGCCUCCCAAAGUGCUGAGAUUACAGGUGUGAGCCACCAUGCCCACCAACCUAUUUUUUAUUUUAAAAAAUUGACAGCAUACUAAAUGUUUGUAAUGCAAAUGAUAAAAUUGCUACAAUGAAAACAAGAAGUUGAGAAUUAGAUGAAGAGUUGAUUAAGGGAACUAUGAGUCACUGUGUUAGAGCAUGUAUAUUAUGAAAAUUAUAGCAGAAGUGAUAAAGGGUGACAAUUGUUACCUAUCUUCAAUCAAAAGCUCUUUGAAUAUCUUUCUUUUUUUUAAUUUUAUGAAUUUUUUUUACAGAGACAGGGUCUCACUAUAUUGCCCAGGUUGGUCUCGAACUCCUGGGCUCAAGGGAUCCUCUUGCCUUGGCCUCACAAAGUACCUGGAUUACAGGCAUGAGCCACAGUGCCUGGCCCUCUUUGAAUAUCUUUAAUGCUUUUAGAGAUUAGCAUCAGAGAAUUAUUAAUACUAGAGGGCACAAGGAAUUAGCCAUUGCCAGUGGACACCUACAUAGGUGUGACUAUGUGACUCAGUUUUAAAAAUGUGACACAAUGAAAAAAUUCCUUGGAUGUUAUGGAGGACGAAAAUUUUGUAAGUCCUAUCCAUUCUUUAAUGGAGAAACUAAAAUUUACAAUAUUACUUUAUUUAGCCCAAGAUUUUCUUAAGCUUUGUAUUUUCUAAUUCAGCUUUGGCUUACAGAAUCAUGCUUGAAGUUUGAGACUGCCAGCUUUCAACAGGCAGUUACUAGUGAAACUCUUUGGAAAGAUGAGAAGAUGUUGACAUAAGUGUAAUGUGAGACAAAGCAAAGUAAAAUGUAAUUUUUAAGAAAAUGUUGCCGGGUGUGAUGGUGGCUCAUGUUGCUGUUGGUUGCUAUGGGAGUGAACGAAGGGGGACGAAUGCAGAAAUGAAGACAAAGACAAAAAGAGUAUUUUUGGAAGAAGGGGUCAGGGGACUCCUUGCUUCUAGUGGGCAAGGGCCCUGAGCUUCUACAGCCCUUCAUAUUUAUUAGGUAGAAAGAGCAGGGAGGGAGAGGUAACAGUUGGUCAGCUGCUUGAUUUAUCACAGGUACACAUAAUUGCUUCCUUUGUACAACAGGCUUCAGAUGUUACUAUAGAUAAUCACAAGGAACACUGCGCUUGGGGCAUGACUGCCCUCAGCAACCCUUCUGGCGGCAGACACAGUUGUUAGUUUUCCAACAUCCUGCUUUCAUGAGAACAGUUUUCUGUUUGCUCAUAUAGCCUUCAGUGGUAUACUGAGUUGGUCACGACCUUCAUUCUUUCGGCCUGUAACAUCUCCCCAUUUUUGUUUUUGCAUUAAUUGAAUAAAGGUAAUUGCAGGUUGUGCAGCUCUCAAUUGCCGUUUGGUGGUCCAGCUGAUUUUGCAGACUGUUAACAAAAAACAAAAAUAUAAUAACAUUAAUCCCAUAGUUACAAAAAAGACAUUGAGAUGCUAUUUGAAGUAGGUCCCAGGGUUAAGGCUGUCUAAACCUUGCUGGAAUUCUGCCCAAGCUUUUAAAGAGGGCUGAAACGCUUGAGUCUGCUUAUUCAAGUUAAGGAUUUUACUUUGUAAAUCAUUAAUAUCAAAAGUAACAUUGAAUGUGAAAGCUCCCUGUAAAUGGGCUUUUACAAGGCUCAAUGGAUAUUCACUUUGGUUAUAUACCAAAUUGGUCACACAAAUAUGAGUAUGAUUAAAAUGACAACGCAUUGCUGCUGCAACUGCAAACUUUGUACUUGUUCCCCUAGCCAUAGAACAGUAGUCUUUAACAUUGCCACCUCUGUUUGUAUUUCGGUGUUAAUUUUAUUUUGAAGCAUCCAUGCCUGGUCGACUGUGCAUGUCCAGUUUUCCACAUAUUGAGCUGUUUGAAUGGAGCUGUGCGUUGCUGCUGAGGACAACACAACAGAGGUUAUUAAUGUAACUAAGGAGACUAUAACAAAAAUUAUCAUGCCUAAGGCUCUAUGAGCACGAUGAGUAAGCGGAGUAAAAAGGAGUUUCAUAAGAUGUAAAGCGGGGGUGGCUGCCCAAGGCUAAGAUAAAUUUACAGGAAUUCAUAAUCCAGGAACAUGACCUAGAAUUGUUAGGGUGGAUAUGUCAUGUGUUUGUAUUGUGCUAUGAUUAAGGCAAUGAUACAGUUGACAGGAAUCACAAGUCAAUUGGGCAUCAUCUACCUGGAGGUGGGUUUUUUUUGCUGCUAAGAAAAUAUAAGGAUUAAAAACAAAUUGUAAAUUGAGUGGUAAUAUUUUCUACAAGGGUAACAUUAAAACUGUGUUUAGCACAAUUACUAUUAUUGGAUAGUGUCCCAAUCCAAAUGCUGCCAUUCAUAAAUGGGAGUGCUGCUUUCCAUAUUGACUCCUGAAUUGGACCUCUCUUUCCUUGAUAAUGCCAUUGAGGCAAAGGUGAGCUAAAGCAUGUGCUGUGUCAAGCAAUUUGGGCAGCAGAUUGAGAUUGAAUUGCAAUGUGAUGUAGUGGGAGAUGUUAAAGUUUUGCCACCAGUUCCAGCAAAGUUAAUGCCAUGAGGUCUGAUGCUCAUGUCUCCCAACCAAAUGACCAUGGGGACCCCAGUAAAUAAUGUCUCCCAUUAGCAUGGACUGUUGUCUAGCUAGGGAGCUAAGACACGGGGUCCAAGGAGGGGGGUUAGAAUUAUCAAAGGGAGCCCAUUCUAUAUAAUUAAUACAAUUUGGGUGAUGGGGCCGGGAGUGAUUAGUAACUACACCAGUAAUAUUAGUAGAACUAAGGCCCAAUAGGUACGUAAAUUUUCCAUGGUAACUCAACCAUGCCUGGGAUUGAAUUGCAAGGCAACUGCAGUUGAGCAGUGUAUCCUGGGUGAUGCAUAAAGAAAGGCCCUCCAAUGGAGUGGUAUAAUUGAUACCAUUGUUCUGAGAGUCUAAUUGCUCUGUGUCAGGGGGAGUUAAGGGUCCCGGUGCCCAUGCUCCUUGAUCAUGAUAUAUCUCAGGAGGAGUGUCACCCCGGUCAUACUACCGGGGGGUUAGGAACAUAAGCCCAAUAUGUUUUUGCCUCUGCACAGGGAAAACAUAGCACACAGGAUAUCAUAGCUAGCAUGGCCAUAAACAUGGAGUCAGGGGUUUUUGCCUGACCCUGAUGCUCCAGCAGUUUCUCAUCUUCUUGUGUGGUUUUCUUGAUCUGUAAAACACAAGCAUACCCUCAUCCCCAUGUCAGUAAAUCUACCAGGCCUUUCCAUUGUCCUUCUUCCAGGGAUUUCCAUAAUACUUUUGGGUAAACUUUCCUUUUUCCCUCUAACAUUUGCCAGUGUCAUUCUACCGGAGUCUUAUUAUCUGUACCAGGAGUUAAAAAAUUUAAAGUAAAUAAUGCUAAAUGUAGUAUUGUUUGAGGUGGUAACUGGUCUCCUAUACCUCCUUUUUGUUUUUUCAGCGCAUGUUGUAAUGUUUGAUGUGCCUGCUCUAUAAUUCCUUGUCCUCGAGGGUUAUAAGGAAUUCUUGUUUUGUGAGUGACUGCCUAUAACUGUAAACAAUUUUGAAAAGCAUGACUAACUUAAGCAGGUCCAUUGUCAGUUUUUAAUUGUUUAGGGACCCUCAUAUCGGCAAAUGACAACAGACAAUGUCAUUGGACAUGGCCAGCUGUUUCACCUGUUUGACAUGUAGCAUGCAGCAUAUGAGAAUAAGUGUCUAUAGUCAUAUGAACAUAGCUAAGUUUGUCAAAGGCUGCUAUAUGUGUAACAUCAAUUUGCCAGAUUUCAUUUGGAGCUAAGCCUCGUGGGUUACAUCCUUCUACCGGUAUAACACCAGGGACAUGCUGACAAGUGGGGCAGGCUUGCACAAUAGCUCGAGCCUGGCUUCGAGGCAGAUGAAACAUACAAGUAAGGGCAGAGGUGUUUUGAUGCAGUAAUGCAUGAGAGGCUUCAGCUUGCUGAAACACAGAACCAAUCAAUUUAUCUGCUCUAUCAUUACCUAGAGGUAGUGGUCCAGGAAGUUGUGUGUCAGAGCGAAUAUGAGAAAUUUGAAAAGGAGCAGCAUGAGAGCAAACAGCUCGCUGAAGUCUUAGAAACAAGUUAAACAGCUCUGGUUCUAGGGUGCUUUUAAUAGUAGCAGUCUCAAUGCGACUGGCUACAUUUACAACAUAGGCUAAAUCACAGACAAUAUUAAUAGGAGAGGAAGCAGUGAGCUGUAAAACCUGAAUAACUGCCAUUAAUUCUGAGCAUUGAGCUGAAACACCAGGGAUUUUUAUUGUUUUAAUAUGCUUAGGUCCAUAAAUAGAUGCUCAGACUUUGGAAGAGCCGUCAGUGAAAUAAGUCUGGCCACCUGGAAUAGGCUUGUGAUGAGUAAUCACAGGGAGGAUAAAAGGGUAAACUUUAUAAAAUUGCAAAACUUUGUCUGAUGGAUAAUGAUUAUCUAUUAUUCCUUUGCUUCAGCCAACAUCGUAGAGCGAUGAAGCUCAGUUCCCACAUCCUGACAAGCUUUGAUAAAAUUUCCUAAGCUUUUUAUACAUCUCACAGAUGCCAAUGCAUGUUUACAGUCCGUGUUUGCAUUCUCAAAAGCUAGUUAAGGUUAGCAUUUCUGUAGCCAUGGUAAGAGAAAUCUGACACUUCACUGCCUAUGGUAAUCUUGCAAGAAAAUGUGCAUAGAGCUCCUGUGACCCUUUCAUGAUAUGUAAGAGAUUGUACUGGGACCCUUUCCUCUGGAAUUGUGGCCCAGGUGCGUUUAACAGCCAAGGCACACUGCUUACAAGCAGCGUCUGGGAGUGCUAUUUGAUGUUCUAGGUCUGAAUAGGGGCCACUGCCUAACAGCAUCCUCUGUAAUGUCUCUGUGUCCAGCAGCACGAUUCUAUCUAGCCUGGUCUGCACACAGUUCUUGCCAAUUUAAAUACCAUAUCAGGUAUGCACUAGCAGACAAACAAGUGCAAGCCAAAUGCUUUACAUCAAAGGGUGGAAGGCGCAUAGCGCCAAAUAGAUUCUAGCAGUCCUAAAGUAAAUGGGCUUUGUAUUCCAUUAUUAACUACACUAGCUUUUAAUUCCUUCAGCAACUUAAAUUCUAGUGGGGUGUGUUCAUGAAUAAACUGCUGUGGAUUAUGUGGAUCAGGCCUUACGGAAAUAGGAAAAGCUCAAGGUCCUAAGGGUUCUCCAGCCAUAGCAGUAGAGUGUAAAGUUCUUUGUAUUGGGGUCUCUAUUUCUGCUACUGAAGGAGGCGGUUCAGAUGUUUCUGCUACUAGAGGGGGUGACACAGGCCAAUUUUCAUCCUCCUGCUCCUGUUUAUUAUUUUUAAUUGGCGCUGUUGAGAGAACAGAAAGAUUCUUUCAAAUUUUUUGACUCUGAACAUGACUCCUGCUGUCUAGCAGAAUAAGAAAUGAAUAAUGGCAGGAUGAACUAAACUCCAAAUAUAAAAAAGAAAAUAGCCAAAUUCUUCCCCCAUGUUACCCUGAUUCAGAAACUUCCCGUUCCCAGUACCUCUUUAGGGCACUGACCUUAUAUUAGCUGUCAGCAGACUCGUCGCAGGGUUUCUCAUUCUCGUUCUUCUUGUCAGUGUCAGUUUCUCUGCUCCAGCAGACCUUCACUCACGUCCCUGUCCUAGGUGCCAGUUGUCGCUGUUGGUUGUUAUGGGAGUGAACGAAGGGGGAUGAAUGCAGAAACGAAGACAAAGACAAAAAGUAUUUUUGGAAGAAGGGGUCAGGGGGCUCCUUCUAGUGAGCAAGGGCCCUGAGCUUCUACAGCCCUUCGUAUUUAUUAGGUAGAAAGAGCAGGGAGGGAGAGGUAGCAGUUGGUCAGUUGCUUGAUUUAUCACAGGUAUACAUAAUUGCUUUCUUUGUACAACAGGCUUCAGAUGUUCCUAUAGAUAAUCACAAGGAACACUGUGCUUGGGGUGUGACUGCCCUCAGCAACCCUUCUGGCAGCAGACACAGUUGUUAGUUUUCCAACAUCCUGCUUUCAUGAGAACAGUUUUCUAUUUGCUCAUAUAGCCUCCAGUGGUAUACUGAGUUGGUCACGACCCUCAUUCUUUCGGCCUGUAACAGGCUCAUGCCUGUAAUGCCAGCACUUUUGGAGGCCGAGGCAAGAGGAUAGCUUGAGCUCAGGAGUUGGAGACCAGCCUGGGCAACACGGUGAAACCCCAUCUCUGCAAAAAUUAGCCUGGUGUGGUGGGGUGCGCCUGUAGUCUCAGCUGCUUGUGGGGCUGAGGCGGGAGAAUAGCUUGAGCUCCAGGGGUCGAGGCUGCAGUGAGCCAUAAUGGUGCUGCUGCAUUCCAGCCUGGGUGACAAAGUGAGACUAUCUCAAAAAAAAAAACGGCUGUUAGAUAAAAAUGAAGACAAACAACAUUUGCAAGGAUAUAAAUCUUAACCCAUUUAUUGGGGGUAUAGGCUCUGGUGUCAGAUUUCCAUCUGUCCUGUAUUUUGUAACCACAAAAUUGUCCUGGCUGGAUUAAUUGUAAGGAAGUCCCUUUAAACACAUCUAGACUUCCAAAGUUUGUUUACAUACUAAUUAGUUGUCAUGAAAAGCUGCAUUCAACCCAGGGUCUGAGAUGCCUUUUGUAUAUGAAAAGUGCUUCUCUUUCUGACACUGACUGAAUUACAUACAUAACAGAUUCAUUUAUUUAAAAACAAUUUAAGAGGCUUUUUCUAUAAUGCUGAACCUGCUGUGUGGUAUUUAUGUUUAAUUCUGGUCAAAUUUUCAAAACUAAUAAACACUGCAAUUCAAAACCAUUAAUUAUCAAGCAUAGACCAAGUAUCUGAGGUUAUGAGCACAUAUUUAAGAGGUUAGACUCUGGCAUUCCAGACAUUGCAAAUAAUACUUUUCUCAUUUCUAAAUUUCCUAGAAACAAGUGGAGAUUUGUAAAAGGAAAUAAUACUCUUUAAAACAUUUAUUUUUGACUCAGGAUCUGGCUCUGUUGCCCUAGCUAGAGUGCAGUGGUGCCAUCAUCACAGCUCACACAAUAGCCUGGAACUACUGGGCUCAAACCAUCCUCCCACCUCAGCCUCCCAAGUAGCUGGGACUGCAGAUGCAGGCCAUCAUGUCCCGCUAAGUUUUAUUUUAUUUUUGUAGAGACAGAGUCUAUGUUGCUCAGGCUGGUCCUGAACUCCCGGCAUCAAGUGAUCCUCCCACCUCCCAAUAAAACAUGUACUGAUGGCCAGGCACUUGGCUCACGCCUGUAAUCCCAGCACUUUGGGAGGCCGAGGCGGGCAGAUCAUGAGGUCAAGAGAUCAAGACCAUUCUGGCCAACAUGGUGAAACCCUGUCUCUACUAAAAAUACAAAAAUUAGCCAGGUGUGGUGGCACGCGCCGGUAGUCUCAGCUACUCCGGAGGCCGAGGCAGGAUAAUUGCUUGAACCCCAGAGGCGGAGGUUGCAGUGAGCCGAGAUCGUGCCACUGCACUCCAGCCUGGCGACAGAGCAAGACUCUGUCUCAAAAAAAAAAAAAAAACCAAAAACCAAAAAAUCAAAACCAAAACCAUGUAUUGAUAUCAAAGUUUUUUUAUCCUGGCAGGGCACAGUGGCUCACGCCUGUAAUCCCAGCACUUUGGGAGGCUGAGGCAGGUGGAUCACGAGGUCAGGAGUUCAAGACCAGCCUGGCCAAGAUGGUGAAGACCCGUCUCUACUAAAAAUACAAAAAUUAGCCAGGCGCAGUGGCAGGCGCCUGUAAUCCCAGCUACUCGGGAGGCUGAGGCAGGAGAAUCGUUUGAAACCAGGAGGGUAGAGGUUGCAGUGAGCCAAGAUUGUGCCACUGUACUCCAGCCUGGGUGACAGAGUGAUACUAUGUCUCAAAAAAAAAAAAAAAAAAAAAAGAAAAAGAAAAAAGAAAGAAAGUUGCUUUAUCUUUAAAACUAUAUAUAUUGUUUUCACCCCUACAUAGUCCUUGCCUCCCAGACAUCUCCUCACUAACGUCAGUAGACAAUUUGGCAUCUGAUGGUUUGAAAUAGUUUCUGUAAUCAAAUCCUGAAUAAAAUCCAUUUUAAAGC